Pelobates cultripes (western spadefoot toad) is the source of this 225-nucleotide non-coding RNA. The record is from the annotation of a GenBank genome assembly. Lineage: Eukaryota; Metazoa; Chordata; Amphibia; Anura; Pelobatidae.
UGGCAGAGUGAGGGAAGGAAGGGAUGACUGGUGAAAGAGUGAGAGAGGGGGUGACUAGUGACAGAGUGAGAGAGGGGGUGACUGUCACUAGUCACCCCAUCCCUCUCUCUGUCACUAGUCACUCCCUCCCUAACUCUGUCACUAGUCACUCCCUCCCUAACUCUGUCACUAGUCACCCCCUCUCUCACUCUGUCACUAGUCACCCCCUCUCUCACUCUGUCACUA